This 400-nucleotide ribosomal RNA is filed under the name uncultured Actinomycetales bacterium. RNAcentral describes it as "bacterial SSU rRNA". It matches the Rfam family "Bacterial small subunit ribosomal RNA", at positions 28 to 432 of the family's 1533-position model. The record is from RNAcentral. Lineage: Bacteria; Bacillati; Actinomycetota; Actinomycetes; Actinomycetales.
GACGAACGCUGGCGGCGUGCUUAACACAUGCAAGUCGAACGGAAAGGUCUCUUCGGAGAUACUCGAGUGGCGAACGGGUGAGUAACACGUGGGUGAUCUACCCUGCACUUCGGGAUAAGCCUGGGAAACUGGGUCUAAUACCGGAUAGGACCACGGGAUGCAUGUCCUGUGGUGGAAAGCGUUUAGCGGUGUGGGAUGGGCCCGCGGCCUAUCAGCUUGUUGGUGGGGUGAUGGCCUACCAAGGCGACGACGGGUAGCCGGCCUGAGAGGGUGUCCGGCCACACUGGGACUGAGAUACGGCCCAGACUCCUACGGGAGGCAGCAGUGGGGGAUAUUGCACAAUGGGCGCAAGCCUGAUGCAGCGACGCCGCGUGGGGAUGACGGCCUCGGUUGUAACCGU